GUCCGCCAGAAAAUUACGAGCGAAAGCCUAAAACUCAAAAGACUUGACGGUGUCCCAACCUACCUAGAGGAGCCUGUUCCAUAAUCGAUAAUCCCCGAUAAACCUAACCACCCCUUGAAAUAUCAGCCUAUAUACCGCCGUCGACAGCCCACCUUCUAAAAGAAACUAAAGCAGGCUAAAUAGAAUAUCUCUAAAAAGUCAGGUCAAGGUGUAGCUAAUGGGGUGGAGAUAAUGGGCUACAUUUUUUAAAAUAAAACACACGAAUUAGUAUUUUGAAACAAAACUAUAAAGGUGGAUUUAGCAGUAAGUCAAAAAAUAACACUGA
RNAcentral lists this ribosomal RNA (325 nucleotides) under Psilops mucugensis. RNAcentral describes it as "partial 12S ribosomal RNA". It matches the Rfam family "Bacterial small subunit ribosomal RNA", at positions 867 to 1365 of the family's 1533-position model. The record is from RNAcentral. Lineage: Eukaryota; Metazoa; Chordata; Lepidosauria; Squamata; Gymnophthalmidae.